UUAGCACUAUCACAUACUAAAAACACCACAAAUAUCGACUGAAAUACACACUGAAAUUAAUACAAAGUAUCCUGAACCUUUUUAUUGCUUAUUCUACUCUGUACUGAUUGAUUUAUCAGUGCUAGCUAGGAAUACACUCUAUCCAUGACUGAAUCUGCUCCUGUGGUAGCUCCUUCCAUACUUUUUCCCAUAUCUGUAUAGCUUCCAUGUGGCUUUUUGAUGCUUCCUUGGCUGUUGUUUUUUGUUUCAUCCAAAACCACACAGGUUCAAUCAUAUUGAGAUCAGGGGAGUUGGAACAUCAGAGCAGCUGCUGAACCUGAUGAAUAUCAUAUAUAUGUCAUUGAAUAUAGUGAUCAUGAGUGGGGGCUUUAUCUUCUUGGACAAUGGUAUUCAGAUGAUUGAUUUGACACUCUUUUGCAAAGGGAAAGAGCUUUGAAAUAAGGAUUUUGACCUGAUAUUGAUAUCAAUUGAUUCCUUUUUCUGAUCCACAAGAUAGCUUUCCUGUAUUCUUCUUCCACUUUCAUACUGAUUGAGAUUCAGAUAGUUGACAA
RNAcentral lists this small RNA (551 nucleotides) under Histoplasma capsulatum. RNAcentral's name for it is "hypothetical RNA". RNAcentral also lists the same sequence under 1 other name. The record is from RNAcentral. Lineage: Eukaryota; Fungi; Ascomycota; Eurotiomycetes; Onygenales; Ajellomycetaceae.